CAUGUCAGAUGACAAGCCCGCCCUAACUUCCUCUGGUCAAGAUGGCUUGAGCGACAGCAGACAUGCGAAACUUUCUCUGAACAGAUUAAGCUAAUUCGAAGUGAAUUACAAGUGAAUUUAGGAUACAAUUGCAGAUAUUUUAUUGAGGAGUGACAGUAACUUGAAAAGAAACAGAUUUAUAAAGAAAUAACGAAGAUUUGCAACGUUCUUCUAUCGCCCUGUGUGACGACCACGUGAAAGAAAAUUUUCUGCAUUCUCCAUUAAGAUCGUUGAAAACCGAACUUUGAACAACUUUGAACAUAUUCCCUUGGCCGGGUUUUUUUUUUUUUUGGGUGUGUUGUUUUUUGUUUUUGGAUUUGAACUGCUGUGCUGGAUCCUGGAUUCGUCCGCCCUGCUUGCCUUCCCUGGAGAGCUACAGCGGCGCGCGGACUGGCGAGCCACCCAUGUGAUCGACCUGCAAUUUUAAAAAGAAGGAAAGAGUUCAAUUGUGCCUUCUAAGAUGGUGGUAGGACAAGAGUUUGAAUUCUACAAACUGAACUCAGCAACAAGUGGUCCAACAACCACACGGACUAAACUGAUUUGCACAGAUAGUGUUUUAGAAAAGUGUUUUGGUGUUAUAGUGUGAUAA
Molecule: long non-coding RNA, 628 nt
Organism: Anguilla anguilla (European eel)
Lineage: Eukaryota; Metazoa; Chordata; Actinopteri; Anguilliformes; Anguillidae
Exons: 2
Source: RefSeq, a predicted model, not a curated record